Molecule: unclassified non-coding RNA, 377 nt
Filed under: plant metagenome
Description: partial contains 5.8S ribosomal RNA, internal transcribed spacer 2, and large subunit ribosomal RNA
Rfam family: 5.8S ribosomal RNA (bases 1-104)
Source: RNAcentral
AAAUGCGAUAAGUAAUAUGAAUUGCAGAAUUCAGUGAAUCAUCGAAUCUUUGAACGCACCUUGCGCUCCUUGGUAUUCCUUGGAGCAUGCCUGUUUGAGUAUCAUGAAAUCUUCAAAGUAAAUCUUUUGUUAACUCAAUUGGUUUCUACUUUGGUAUUGGAGGUCUUUGCAGCUUCACACCUGCUCCUCUUUGUUCAUUAGCUGGAUCUCAGUGUUAUGCUUGGUUCCACUCGGCGUGAUAAGUUAUCUAUCGCUGAGGACACUGUAAAAGGUGGCCAAGGUAAAUGCAGAUGAACCGCUUCUAAUAGUCCAUUGACUUGGACAAUACUUUUAUGAUCUGAUCUCAAAUCAGGUAGGACUACCCGCUGAACUUAAGC